UCAGUUGAGCUGUUCCUUCCAGGUGUAAGGGGGCGUGGCCUGGGGAACCAAGGGGAAGGGAAUUGUUUUGGAGGGAGUUUUGAGACAGAGAGGAAAGAGGGAAGCCUGGCAGUGAAUUAAGAAGAAUUGAGCUCUUUAGUAUGUAUGGUGUUACUUUAAUGUACUUAAGGAACAUUGAGACAAGUGAACUCUGAGGACAAUGAGGACUGAUCAGCAAACCCUCCUCUCGGCUGCUGGAACCCAUUGGAGACAAACAGACAACCCGAACCUAAAUCUCCCAACUUCCAAACAUCCCUCUCUUCUCGUCCAGUUUCAACCAUCAUAUAUCGCUCCUCAGAUUGUCCAAUAAACGAUUAAAUCAA
Long non-coding RNA from Trematomus bernacchii (emerald rockcod), 362 nucleotides. RefSeq lists it as uncharacterized. The record is from RefSeq and is a predicted model, not a curated record. Lineage: Eukaryota; Metazoa; Chordata; Actinopteri; Perciformes; Nototheniidae. The transcript is spliced from 2 exons.